AUGAGGAAGAAGCAGAGCCUCCCAACCAACACCACAGACUCCACCACCCACAUCAGGUGGUACACCACCUGCUCGCAUAGCACGGCCAUCACGUUCACGCGCGGCCGCCACCUCAUAAGCAUCGACAGGAAGGAGCUCACCCGAGACUUCGAAUGCGCCGGUAGCGCACCGGCACCAUUUCUGCUCCCGCUCACGGCCGCAUUCCUAGACGUCGGUGCCGGUGCCCCGCCAGAGGCACUGCUGCAGCUCUCACAUGCCGCCUUGCUCGACAGUAUCGGUUCCGACGCCCCGCUGGUCUUGCUCUCUCGCUUGGCCGCCAGCUUCCUCGGCAUCUUACGCUUCCGUAUCCACUCGCCCACCUUCCCGCGCGCCAUCAAAUCUUAUCAAUCCAAGUUGAUCGAGUCAGAUGCUUCUUCUUCUUUGUUGCUUGUUUGCUACAGCUCUGUAACAGGAGGUGAAAUGAGCAACGACAUGAAGCAGUCAACCUUUCUCCCACUUACCAGAUUGGCCAACAAGAAGGCGCUGGUCCGGGACUUCGAGUGCGUACUGGUAUCGUUCCCACUCCCGCUAGGCGCCCCGCUGGAGCUGCUCCAGCUCUUAGGCGCCGCCUCGCUCGGCAGUAUGGGCUCGGACGCCCCGAUCUCCUUGCUCCGGCGCCUGGCCGCCCCGCUCUCCUUGCUCCGGCACCUGGCCGCCGACUUCCUCGGCGUCGUACGCUUCCCUCUGCACCGCAUGUCUGAAGUCCUCGUCUGGUCUCGCCUGAGCUGUAUAUGCGGGGACGCCAACGCGGUGGGCGAGCUGAUGAUGCACGGCAUUUUGUCGCCUAUUGGUAACCAGAUCAUCAAGCAUAGAGCUUCCAUUUACGCUGAUGAUGUUGUCAUUUUCUCCAAGCCUGACAACCAAGACAUUUCUUCUAUUGCUAGUGUUCUGGACUUAUUUGGUAGAGCCUCUGGUUUGGGCACCAACAUGGCCAAAAGUAAAAUUUUGCCUAUUAGGUGCGAAGGUAUUGACCUUACCAUCAUUCAAAACUCCCUUGGAUGCCAAAUUGAUUCUUUACCCUGCACCUACUUGGGUAUGCCACUUUCGGACAAGAGGCUCAAGAGAAUUUUCUUCCAAGGUUUGCUUGACAAGAUUGCCAAGAAGUUAGCCGCAUGGAAAGCUCGAUGGAUUACUUUGGCUGGUCGUACUGUUCUGGUCAGAUUCGUGCUCUCUGCAAUGCCUAUUUUUCAACUUAUUGCCGUUAAGCAGCCAAAAUGGUUUAUUAAACAAAUCGACAAGAUGAGAAGGGCCUUUCUUUGGGCCGGGUCAGAUUCAGUUAGUGGUGGAAAAUGCUUGAUCAAAUGGUCUCAAGUUUGCUCUCCUCUUGAGCUUGGUGGGCUACGUAUACCUGAUCUGAUUUGUCAAGGAAGGGCACUGAGAGUUAGGUGGCUCUGGCAGAACGCCACUGAUGGUGAUAAAUCUUGGCAUGGGUUAACACUGCCAGUGGACAAGGAGGUUAAGGCCAUUUUUGUGGCUAGUACUUCAAUCAAGAUUGGGAAUGGAAAAUCCUUCAGUUUUUGGCAUGACCAUUGGCUGCAUGGUGAGAUCCCCUCGGUUUCCUUCCCGUUAUUUUACAAGCAUUGUAAUAGGCGCCAGAUCACUGUCUCUGAAGCUCUGCACCGCAUGUCUGAAGUCCUCCUCGUCUGGUCUUGCCUGAGCUGUAUAUGCGGGGACGCCAACGCGGUGGGCGAGCUGAUGAUGCCGCCAGUCUGA
Molecule: ribosomal RNA, 1752 nt
Filed under: Triticum aestivum (bread wheat)
Lineage: Eukaryota; Viridiplantae; Streptophyta; Magnoliopsida; Poales; Poaceae
Description: partial small subunit ribosomal RNA
Source: RNAcentral